UGGACAAUGGGCGCAAGCCUGAUCCAGCCAUUCCGCGUGAGUGAAGAAGGCCUUCGGGUUGUAAAGCUCUUUCGCGAGGGAAGAAAACUUAUCCUAUAAUAAAGGAUGAGGCUGACGGUACCUUGAUAAGAAGCACCGGCUAACUACGUGCCAGCAGCCGCGGUAAUACGUAGGGUGCGAGCGUUAAUCGGAAUUACUGGGCGUAAAGCGUGCGCAGGCGGUUUUGUAAGUCAGAUGUGAAAGCCCCGGGCUCAACCUGGGAACUGCGUUUGAAACUACAAGGCUAGAGUGUAGCAGAGGGGGGUAGAAUUCCACGUGUAGCAGUGAAAUGCGUAGAGAUGUGGAGGAAUACCAAUGGCGAAGGCAGCCCCCUGGGUUAACACUGACGCUCAUGCACGAAAGCGUGGGGAGCAAACAGGAUUAGAUACCCUGGUAGUCCAUCGCCCUAAACGAUGUCUACUAGUUGUUGGGAGAGUAAAA
RNAcentral lists this ribosomal RNA (480 nucleotides) under uncultured bacterium. RNAcentral's name for it is "bacterial SSU rRNA". It matches the Rfam family "Bacterial small subunit ribosomal RNA", at positions 365 to 836 of the family's 1533-position model. The record is from RNAcentral.